CCUACGGGAGGCAGCAGUGAGGAAUAUUGGUCAAUGGGCGAAAGUCUGAACCAGCCAAGUAGCGUGAAGGAUGACUGCCCUACGGGUUGUAAACUUCUUUUAUAUGGGAAUAACAUGUUUUACGUGUAGGGUUUUGCAUGUACCGUAUGAAUAAGGAUCGGCUAAUUCCGUGCCAGCAGCCGCGGUAAUACGGAGGAUCCGAGCGUUAUCCGGAUUUAUUGGGUUUAAAGGGAGCGUAGGUGGAUUGUAAAGUCAGUUGUGAAAGGUUGCGGCUCAACCGGACAAUUGCAGUAGAAACUGGGAGCGUUGAGUACAGGAGAGGUGGGCGAAAUCGGUGGUG
Molecule: ribosomal RNA, 340 nt
Filed under: uncultured bacterium
Lineage: Bacteria
Description: partial 16S ribosomal RNA
Rfam family: Bacterial small subunit ribosomal RNA
Source: RNAcentral